GUCCUAGCCGUAAACGGUGAUCACUAGGUGUUGGAGGCAUCGACCCCUCCAGUGCCGCAGCUAACGCAUUAAGUGAUCCGCCUGGGGAGUACGGCCGCAAGGUUGAAACUCAAAGGAAUUGACGGGGGCCCGCACAAGCGGUGGAGCAUGUGGUUUAAUUCGACGCAACGCGAAGAACCUUACCCAGGCUUGACAUGCACUAGACGGGUGUGGAAACACACCUUCCCUUCGGGGCUGGUGCACAGGUGCUGCAUGGCUGUCGU
This 263-nucleotide ribosomal RNA is filed under the name uncultured bacterium. Its description in RNAcentral is "partial 16S ribosomal RNA". It matches the Rfam family "Bacterial small subunit ribosomal RNA", at positions 793 to 1055 of the family's 1533-position model. The record is from RNAcentral.